GCUUGUCUCAAAGAUUAAGCCAUGCAUGUCUAAGUAUAAACAACUUUGUACUGUGAAACUGCGAAUGGCUCAUUAUAUCAGUUAUAGUCUACUCGAUAGUACCUUACUACUUGGAUAACCGUAGUAAUUCUAGAGCUAAUACAUGCGUAAAUACCCAACUGCUUGUCGGACGGGUAGCAUUUAUUAGAUUGAAACCAAUGCCCUCUGGGCUCUCUGGUGAUUCAUGAUAACUUCUCGAAUCGCAUGGCCUUGCGCCGGCGAUGGUUCAUUCAAAUUUCUUCCCUAUCAACUUUCGAUGUUUGGGUAGUGGCCAAACAUGGUUGCAACGGGUAACGGAGGGUUAGGGCUCGACCCCGGAGAAGGAGCCUGAGAAACGGCUACUACAUCCAAGGAAGGCAGCAGG
RNAcentral lists this ribosomal RNA (403 nucleotides) under Tolypocladium ophioglossoides. RNAcentral describes it as "partial small subunit ribosomal RNA". It matches the Rfam family "Eukaryotic small subunit ribosomal RNA", at positions 30 to 432 of the family's 1831-position model. Lineage: Eukaryota; Fungi; Ascomycota; Sordariomycetes; Hypocreales; Ophiocordycipitaceae. The record is from RNAcentral.